GGGAAGGUAGCUCAGCCUGGGAGAGCGCUACCCUGAAGAGGUAGUUGUCGUGGGUUCAAAAACAGAUCCCUUUUCA
Molecule: transfer RNA, 76 nt
Filed under: Thermoplasmata archaeon
Lineage: Archaea; Methanobacteriati; Thermoplasmatota; Thermoplasmata
Description: tRNA-Phe
Rfam family: tRNA
About the family: Transfer RNA (tRNA) molecules are approximately 80 nucleotides in length. Their secondary structure includes four short double-helical elements and three loops (D, anti-codon, and T loops). Further hydrogen bonds mediate the characteristic L-shaped molecular structure. tRNAs have two regions of fundamental functional importance: the anti-codon, which is responsible for specific mRNA codon recognition, and the 3' end, to which the tRNAs corresponding amino acid is attached (by aminoacyl-tRNA synthetases). tRNAs cope with the degeneracy of the genetic code in two manners: having more than one tRNA (with a specific anti-codon) for a particular amino acid; and 'wobble' base-pairing, i.e. permitting non-standard base-pairing at the 3rd anti-codon position.
Source: RNAcentral